Molecule: long non-coding RNA, 369 nt
Organism: Bactrocera tryoni
Lineage: Eukaryota; Metazoa; Arthropoda; Insecta; Diptera; Tephritidae
Exons: 2
Source: RefSeq, a predicted model, not a curated record
CCGAAAUCAGCGAAAAGAGCACGAAGAUAGAAAUCUUCGCGCUAAAAUAGAACAAAAACAACCAACACAAAAGUAACAGUAAAAGUCUCCGGUAACUGGUACAUCACCUAAUCUGCCAACGCUACGGAAGUAAUCAACGCUAACAAGGACAAUAUGACACGCUUUCGACGAAUUGUGACGAUCCGUCAACAAGUUAUAAUGUACACCGCUGCACCACACCUAGGCGCUUCUGGAGAUUCGCCGUCACGGGCUUAUUUAUUAAUAUUUUUCAUUGAAAAUUUUUUCUAAUAUACUCAAAAGUUGUACAAUAACAUGUCAUUAAAACUAAUAAGAUUAUACUUCCUCAUGUCGCCGCAAAAAAUACAAAUA